GUCUACGGCCAUGCCACUUUGACCAAUCUUGAUAUCUGAUCUCAGAAGCUAAGUAGGGUUGGGCCUGGUUAGUCCUGGGAUGGGAGACCACCUAGGAAGACCAGGUGCUAAUGCCA
RNAcentral lists this ribosomal RNA (116 nucleotides) under Pteropus vampyrus (large flying fox). Lineage: Eukaryota; Metazoa; Chordata; Mammalia; Chiroptera; Pteropodidae. The record is from RNAcentral.